RNAcentral lists this ribosomal RNA (245 nucleotides) under uncultured bacterium. RNAcentral's name for it is "partial 16S ribosomal RNA". It matches the Rfam family "Bacterial small subunit ribosomal RNA", at positions 524 to 768 of the family's 1533-position model. The record is from RNAcentral.
UACAGAGGCCCCGAGCGUUAUCCGGAAUCACUGGGCGUAAAGGGUGCGUAGGCGGUUUUGUUAGUCUUUUGUUAAAACCCACGGCUCAACCGUGGACAGGCAAAGGAAACGGCAUAACUUGAGGAUGUGAGAGGUGUGCGGAACUCAUAGUGUAGGGGUGAAAUCCGUUGAUAUUAUGGGGAACACCAAAUGCGAAGGCAGCACACUGGCACACUCCUGACGCUGAGGCACGAAAGCGUGGGUAG